This 107-nucleotide microRNA precursor is filed under the name Canis lupus familiaris (dog). RNAcentral's name for it is "mir-8834 microRNA precursor family". It matches the Rfam family "mir-8834 microRNA precursor family". RNAcentral also lists the same sequence under 1 other name. Lineage: Eukaryota; Metazoa; Chordata; Mammalia; Carnivora; Canidae. The record is from Rfam by way of RNAcentral.
AGGAGGAACAACCACAGUGGCAGCGGCCAGCUCUCCAGCCCUGGAGUCAGCUCCCGCAGUAACUAGGGAGCGCUUGGUCUGCAGGGGCCUGGAUGCUCUGGGGGCGG